Molecule: ribosomal RNA, 873 nt
Filed under: uncultured bacterium
Lineage: Bacteria
Description: bacterial SSU rRNA
Rfam family: Bacterial small subunit ribosomal RNA
Source: RNAcentral
AGCGGAAGUUUUCGGAUGGAAGCAAUAAACCUCAGCGGCGGACGGGUGAGUAACGCGUGGGUAACCUGCCUCAUACAGGGGGAUAACAGUUAGAAAUGACUGCUAAAACCGCAUAAGCGCACAUUGUCGAGUGACAGAGUGUGAAAAACUCCGGUGGUAUGAGAUGGACCCGCGUCUGAUUAGCUAGUUGGUGAGGUAACGGCCCACCAAGGCGACGAUCAGUAGCCGGCCUGAGAGGGCGACCGGCCACAUUGGGACUGAGACACGGCCCAAACUCCUACGGGAGGCAGCAGUGGGGAAUAUUGCACAAUGGGGGAAACCCUGAUGCAGCGACGCCGCGUGAGUGAAGAAGUAUUUCGGUAUGUAAAGCUCUAUCAGCAGGGAAGAAGAAAGACGGUACCUGACUAAGAAGCCCCGGCUAACUACGUGCCAGCAGCCGCGGUAAUACGUAGGGGGCAAGCGUUAUCCGGAUUUACUGGGUGUAAAGGGAGCGUAGACGGCUGUGCAAGUCUGAAGUGAAAGCCCAGGGCUCAACCCUGGGACUGCUUUGGAAACUGUGGAGCUAGAGUGCUGGAGAGGUAAGUGGAAUUCCUAGUGUAGCGGUGAAAUGCGUAGAUAUUAGGAGGAACACCAGUGGCGAAGGCGGCUUACUGGACAGUAACUGACGUUGAGGCUCGAAAGCGUGGGGAGCAAACAGGAUUAGAUACCCUGGUAGUCCACGCGGUAAACGAUGAAUACUAGGUGUUGGAGAGCAAAGCUUUUCGGUGCCGUCGCAAACGCAAUAAGUAUUCCACCUGGGGAGUACGUUCGCAAGAAUGAAACUCAAAGGAAUUGGCGGGGACCCGCACAAGCGGUGGAGCAUGUGGUUUAAUU